UCUUGCAGCACAGCCAAGUAAGGGGAAAGUGCUUUUGGUCCUGGCCCAAGAUUUGCGAACUUGAGGGAACACCCAGGGGAAGGUGGAGCAGGUGUGACCCUACUGGGAAGUCUGCCAACAGAUGAAUUGGGAUCAUCGUCCUUGAAGGACCUUAUCUGAGCAGGUCAGCGACAAGCCCCCAACGAUUGGCUCCUCAUCGGUGUCUUCCUGGGACCUAGGAGUGCAUCCCCAACUGGAAAAAUCUAUCUGAAAUAGGCUAAGAAAACCAUCACCUCGCAGAACUCAAAAUUGCCAGCCAUAGAAGAUACUGAGGAAGCAUAUCAGUGUUUAGUCAGAAACCAGUCAAACAAGAACAUCUGGCCAGGGUCCUGCUUGCUGGGUGGUUUCUGCGUAAGCCUCAACAC
This is a long non-coding RNA of Symphalangus syndactylus (siamang), 404 nucleotides long. RefSeq lists it as uncharacterized. NCBI's taxonomy places the organism in Eukaryota, Metazoa, Chordata, Mammalia, Primates, Hylobatidae. The record is from RefSeq and is a predicted model, not a curated record.